ACGGGAGGCAGCAGUGGGGGAUAUUGCACAAUGGAGGAAACUCUGAUGCAGCAACGCCGCGUGAGGGAAGAAGGUCUUCGGAUUGUAAACCUAAGUUGUCAGGGACGGUAAUGACGGGACCUGAAGAGAAAGCUCCUGCUAACUACGUGCCAGCAGCCGCGGGAAUACGUAGGGAGCGAGCGUUGUCCGGAUUUACUGGGUGUAAAGGGUGCGUAGGUGGGUUUGCAAGUCAGGCGUGAAAUCCCACGGCUUAACUGUGGGGCUGCGCUUGAAACUGUAGAUCUUGAGUGAAGUAGAGGCAAGCGGAAUUCCUAAUGUAGCGGUGAAAUGCGUAGAUAUUAGGAGGAACACCAGUGGCGAAGGCGGCUUGCUGGGCUUUAACUGACGCUGAGGCACGAAAGUAUGGGGAGCAAACAGGAUUAGAUACCCUGGUA
Molecule: ribosomal RNA, 434 nt
Filed under: uncultured Clostridium sp.
Lineage: Bacteria; Bacillati; Bacillota; Clostridia; Eubacteriales; Clostridiaceae
Description: partial 16S ribosomal RNA
Rfam family: Bacterial small subunit ribosomal RNA
Source: RNAcentral